AAUCAAAUGCUGCUUUCAUUGGUCAAUCUUAAACUCGUAUGGUUGCUUUGGAUCAUUUGUAGGUUACUGCUGCAGAAAGCCAAGUGGCACAGCAACAUAUUCUCAAGGAGCUCAGAAAAAAUGGUCUUGCAUUGUGGCAAAGCUCGGCCCUUGGUCCUAUUACCCUUGGAUCUUCAAAAUCAUCUGCUAAUAAGUUUCCUGCUUCAUUGGAUGCUGCAAUCUAUGGCCCCAGGACAUGUUCAUUAGAAAGUGGUUCUUUGACUGAAAAGGU
This is a long non-coding RNA of Hibiscus syriacus, 271 nucleotides long. RefSeq lists it as uncharacterized. The transcript has 3 exons. The record is from RefSeq and is a predicted model, not a curated record. NCBI's taxonomy places the organism in Eukaryota, Viridiplantae, Streptophyta, Magnoliopsida, Malvales, Malvaceae.